CUCCCAUUUCCGGAAGCCUGGCGCAAGGUUGGUCUGCAGGUGGCCUCCAGGUGCAAAGUGGGAAGUGUGAGUCCUCAGUCUUGGGCUAUUCGGCCACGUGCCUGCCGGACAUGGGACGCUGGAGGGUCAGCAGCGUGGAGUCCUGGCCUUUUGCGUCCACGGGUGGGAAAUUGGCCAUUGCCACGGCGGGAACUGGGACUCAGGCUGCCCCCCGGCCGUUUCUCAUCCGUCCACCGGACUCGUGGGCGCUCGCACUGGCGCUGAUGUAGUUUCCUGACCUCUGACCCGUAUUGUCUCCAGAUUAAAGGUACGACAUUUGGAGGCCCCAGCGAGAAACGUCACCGGGAGAAACGUCACCGGGCGAGAGCCGGGCCCGCUGUGUGCUCCCCCGGAAGGACAGCCAGCUUGUAGGGGGGAGUGCCACCUGAAAAAAAAAUUUCCAGGUCCCCAAAGGGUGACCGUCUUCCGGAGGACAGCGGAUCGACUACCAUGUGGGUGCCCACAAAAAUUCCACCUCUGAGUCCUCAACUGCUGACCCCGGGGUCAGGUCCAGAUUUUGAACAAAUCUCGCUAGAGAUUGAACAGAGCUGCGCCUGGAUCCCGCCACAGUGAGGAGACCUGAAGACCAGAGAAAACACAGCAAGCCCCUGGAUCCUCCUGGAAUCCCCGAUCCCUCUUGCUCCCUGGCAGAGUUUUCUAGUCCCUCUUACUUGAAGCAUGUCUUUCAGAGCCCGGCACCACCCAUCUUGAGUAUCUGGUGGAUUUUCACAUCUCAAGCCAGCUAAGAGUAUGGGAAAUAGGACUCGUUAAAGCACAGAUAUCACACAAGUGAUUCAGAUUCACGAGGGUAAUCCAGAUGAAGGUAUAUCAUUGUACCUGGCCCGCAUCACUCAGUAACUGUCACCUUUGAUUUAUUGAUUUACUUGAGAUGGAGUUUGGUUCUGUCCCCGAGGCCGGAGUGCAAUGGCGUGAUCUCUGCUCACUACAACCUCUGCCUCCCAGGUUCAGAGUGAUUCUCCUGCCUCAGCCUCUUUAGCUGGGAUUACAGGCACCCACCAACAUGCCCAGCUAAUUUUUGUAUUUUUAGUAGAGAGGAGCUUUCACCAUAAUGGCCAGGCUGGUCUUGAACCUCAAAUGAUCUGCCCACCUUGGCCUCCCAAAGUGCUAGGAUUACAGGCUGGAGCUACAGAGCCCAGCCUGUCACCUUGAUUUAAAUGAAUGCAGCUUUCUUGGUGUCUUGAUGUUUGUGAAUUUCUGUGGAGUUUGAUACUGCUCCUUUUGCUGCUUGUUUUUCCAGAGUCCCCUUAUCACUUGACGUGCUGUUAUAUUAUGUUUGAUUUAUUACAGAUACCCCAUCAGCCUGAGUCUCUUAAAGGCCUUUAUACACAUAUGUCUACACAUAGGGAUUUGGAUGAUCUCGGGAUCCCACAUCCUCGCUGUCCCCUGUCCCCCCGCAACAUCCCCCACCAAUACCUUUCUGAAGUUUUCUAGUCCCUCCUUUUUGUUUGUGCUCCUUAAAGCCCAGCCCCAUGCCUGACUUUGGUUCCCAGUGAGCAUUGUACAUUUGUGGAUAUUAAAUCUUUGGCAAAGUCAUUUACCUGGG
Molecule: long non-coding RNA, 1603 nt
Filed under: Homo sapiens (human)
Lineage: Eukaryota; Metazoa; Chordata; Mammalia; Primates; Hominidae
Description: non-protein coding LINC00665:28
Source: RNAcentral